Molecule: non-coding RNA, 29 nt
Filed under: Mus musculus (house mouse)
Lineage: Eukaryota; Metazoa; Chordata; Mammalia; Rodentia; Muridae
Source: RNAcentral
UGCCUCUUAGCACCACUGGAGAGGCUGGG